AUGACGGGAGCUUGCUCCUUGAUUCAGCGGCGGACGGGUGAGUAAUACCUAGGAAUCUGCCUGAUAGUGGGGGACAACGUUUCGAAAGGAACGCUAAUACCGCAUACGUCCUACGGGAGAAAGCAGGGGACCUUCGGGCCUUGCGCUAUCAGAUGAGCCUAGGUCGGAUUAGCUAGUUGGUGAGGUAAUGGCUCACCAAGGCGACGAUCCGUAACUGGUCUGAGAGGAUGAUCAGUCACACUGGAACUGAGACACGGUCCAGACUCCUACGGGAGGCAGCAGUGGGGAAUAUUGGACAAUGGGCGAAAGCCUGAUCCAGCCAUGCCGCGUGUGUGAAGAAGGUCUUCGGAUUGUAAAGCACUUUAAGUUGGGAGGAAGGGCAGUAAGCUAAUACCUUGCUGUUUUGACGUUACCGACAGAAUAAGCACCGGCUAACUCUGUGCCAGCAGCCGCGGUAAUACAGAGGGUGCAAGCGUUAAUCGGAAUUACUGGGCGUAAAGCGCGCGUAGGUGGUUCGUUAAGUUGGAUGUGAAAUCCCCGGGCUCAACCUGGGAACUGCAUCCAAAACUG
This 570-nucleotide ribosomal RNA is filed under the name bacterium RBM-A3. Its description in RNAcentral is "bacterial SSU rRNA". It matches the Rfam family "Bacterial small subunit ribosomal RNA", at positions 69 to 635 of the family's 1533-position model. The record is from RNAcentral.